Molecule: ribosomal RNA, 252 nt
Filed under: uncultured bacterium
Lineage: Bacteria
Description: partial 16S ribosomal RNA
Rfam family: Bacterial small subunit ribosomal RNA
Source: RNAcentral
UACGUAGGGAGCAAGCGUUGUCCGGAAUCAUUGGGCGUAAAGCGCGCGUAGGCGGCCCCGUAAGUCCGCUGUGAAAGUCAAAGGCUCAACCUUUGAAAGCCGGUGGAUACUGUGGGGCUAGAGUCCGGAAGAGGCGAGUGGAAUUCCUGGUGUAGCGGUGGAAUGCGCAGAUAUCAGGAGGAACACCAAUAGCGAAGGCAGCUCGCUGGGACGGUACUGACGCUAAGGCUCGAAAGCGUGGGGAGCGAACAG